UGGUUCUCACAUAGUCACAUACACAUAUACAUCUUCUGAAAAUCAUAGAACAUGAAUUUUGUGAAAUAAAAUCAACAAGGAUGAGUGAAAUAAAAUCCAAGGGAAUUGAUAAAACCUUCUGAUUCUGUCCCAAAGAUGCCCAUCAAUUUUCCACCAUUGCCAUAGGCAUUGAAGUCUUGAACAUCACGUAUAUUAGAUUCUUUUGGUCUUCCAUAUAUCCCAUAUAUUUUCCCUUUGUUGGUGGCAAAAACAACGGAGCUAAUUCGGAUUCUAUUCCCCAUUUUUCCAAAAGAACCUUUCACAUGAGUUAUGUACUCAUCAGAAUUCAGAUUAACCUUAAAAGAAAACAAAAGUUCAAACCUAAAAGACAUUAAAGUUUCGAAAAAUGAAGAAGAAGAAGAAUAAAUGCGUCAAUAUAUAACAACAGAUUACCCUAUAUAAGCCUCCACCGAAUCCUCCAGCAUGGUGUGAAUCACCUCUCUGACAUUGAAUCUCAAUAGAAUCAAUUAUGUGUCCUGAACGGAUAGUCAACUUUUGUACGACGCCAUCUCUACCGGUACGAUUGAACUCAAAACGGGUUCCCAUAGUUGCGCAUCCGAAUUCUCUAGUUGGAUAACAUACUUCACCCAUAUCUACAAAUCAACAAAAUAUCAAAAAAACAAACACGAGGAGUUGAGGUAGGAAGAAG
RNAcentral lists this long non-coding RNA (688 nucleotides) under Zostera marina. RNAcentral's name for it is "long non-coding RNA (ZMAR_LNC003388)". Lineage: Eukaryota; Viridiplantae; Streptophyta; Magnoliopsida; Alismatales; Zosteraceae. The record is from RNAcentral.